GCUGGUGUAAGAAACAGUUACUUCGCCUGUCACGCGAGAGGUGUAGGUUCGAGUCCUGCCGCAGCG
RNAcentral lists this transfer RNA (66 nucleotides) under Oscillatoria sp. FACHB-1406. Its description in RNAcentral is "tRNA-OTHER". The record is from RNAcentral. Lineage: Bacteria; Bacillati; Cyanobacteriota; Cyanophyceae; Oscillatoriales; Oscillatoriaceae.